RNAcentral lists this ribosomal RNA (612 nucleotides) under uncultured bacterium. RNAcentral's name for it is "bacterial SSU rRNA". It matches the Rfam family "Bacterial small subunit ribosomal RNA", at positions 100 to 715 of the family's 1533-position model. The record is from RNAcentral.
GAACGGGUGCGUAACACGUGGGUAACCUUCCCUUAUGUGGGGGAUAACCCGCCGAAAGGCGGGCUAAUACCGCAUAAUAUUCCGAUGGCUUCGGCUGACGGAAUCAAAGCCUGCAAAGGCGCAAGAGGAGGGGCCCGCGGCCGAUUAGCUAGUUGGCGAGGUAAUGGCUCACCAAGGCAAUGAUCGGUAGCCGGUCUGAGAGGAUGGCCGGCCACACUGGAACUGAGACACGGUCCAGACUCCUACGGGAGGCAGCAGUGGGGAAUCUUGCGCAAUGGGCGAAAGCCUGACGCAGCAACGCCGCGUGGGGGAUGAAGCUUUUCGGAGUGUAAACCCCUUUCGACCCGGAAGAAUGCCCGCAAGGGUUUGACGGUACGGGUAUAAGAAGCCCCGGCUAACUACGUGCCAGCAGCCGCGGUAAAACGUAGGGGGCCAGCGUUGCUCGGAAUUACUGGGCGUAAAGGGUCCGUAGGCGGUGUGGCAAGUCGGAAGUGAAAUCUCUGGGCUUAACCCAGAGGCUGCUCCCGAAACUGCUAUGCUAGAGUGUGAGAGAGGCGAGUGGAAUUGCAGGUGUAGCGGUGAAAUGCGUAGAUUCUGCAGGAACCAUCCGAG